UCUAUUCCUUGAUAUGCACUUAAUUAUAUCUGUUCAUUGUUCACUAACCAUGUUUCAUGAUAGCGCAUUCGUGAUUGCCGCCCAGGUGCGCAUCUAUUCAUAUUUCGCCUAUUCUUUAUACAUGCUUUACUUCUCAUAUUGUGCAUGAUCGAUUUGAGUAUUCAUCGAUUUCCUCAUUGAUUGCCACGUCAGCUUCAGUCUAUUAGUAGAGACCCGACUUUAGGGACUUAGAGGGGUGCUACGGUCUUUACCGUACCUUCCCGAUAAGUAACCUGACCCCCGAACCCGAUCCGGUUUUCACAGACCGCCUUUUCCAAAAUAAGGAGUCACACUUAGGGUUUUUCUUUCUUAUUUUGUUUACCCUUUAAAAAUAAAACAAAAAUAAGUGGCGACUCCAAGUCAUUUUCAAAUAAUCAAUAAAAAUCAAUUUUUUCAAAGAAUAAAAUCGAGCUCGUCAUCGAGUGGGAAACGCAUUCGAGCGAUCGAAAAUGCGGGGUCCACAAAAUGGCGACUCCGCUGGGGAUAUCAAUAUGUCUCUUUAGGCUUGAGACUCUUUUUGAUGAGGAUGCACAGAUUGUAAAGAAUGCGGGGAUUGCUAGCUUUGCUUCAAUGAGGAUUUUCUGCUCUCCUCAGCAUUCGGGUAAUAAAGAUUUGAAGGACUCCACAGGGAUAUCUUUUAGAAGAUGUAUGCAGCCUGUAGAGAAGUGUUCAAGGGAUGUUUGGGAAUUAUUUCGAUCAGUUGAUGGUGCAGUACAUGGAUGGCCAGCCCAUAUAGCAAGAUCAUGUGGUUCAUUUGAAGAUGAGUUGUUGACAGAGCAGAUGUAGUGGCACUCCAGAUUGCAUUCUUACUCGGUUUUCCCUCAUCACCUUUUCACUUGUAUGUCAAUGCAUGGCUACCUUUGAGGAAUGUGCUAUCUCCUAUUCCCCUCUUUUAAUUUUUAAGAUAAUUGCCCCAAAUCCUAUUUUGUAAAUAUUCUCUCAAAUUCAGCUUUUCAAAUAAUCCCAACUCCUAUUUUCUAAUAAAACUUGGCUGCCUUUUUCUUUCUGGCAAGCCAUUUUCAAAUUUUCUUUGUUUUUUAAAAUGUUUUAAAAUAAGCAUGGAUUUAAUUCCGUAAUUCCGAAUAAUGGAAUUUAUGGGAUUAAUUCAUGCAAAAUAAAACGGGCUUUGGUGGGGGCCCUACAUCAAAUAAAUUUGCUUUGAAAUAAAAAUGAAUUUUGAAUGAAAUAUCAUGCGUGCUAUUGGUGCUUCUUUAUCUGUUUUGGUGACAUGAGUGACAUACUUUAUGUUUAUUACUAUGCACUAAUCUCAUUUUGUGAUAGCGCAUUGCCGUUUGCUGAUCAGGUAUACAUCCACUUCCACUUCGGUUAUCCUCUAUUGCAUAUUCUGAUACUCAUAUGUGCAUGAUUGAUUCGAGUAUUCAUUGAUUUUCUCAUUGAUUGCCAUGUCAACUUCAUCUCAUUAGUAGAGACCCGACCUUAGGGACUUAGAGGGGUGCUAUGGUCUUUACCGUACCUUCCCGAUAAGUAACCUGACCCCCGAACCCGAUCCGGUUUUCGUAGAUCACCUUUUCCAAAAUAAGGAGUCACACUUAGGGUUUUUCUUUCUUAUUUUGUUUACCCUUUAAAAAUAAAACAAAAAUAAGUGGCGACUCCAAGUCAUUUUCAAACAAUAAAUAAAAAUCAAUUUUUCAAAUAAAAA
This 1699-nucleotide long non-coding RNA is filed under the name Vitis vinifera (wine grape). RNAcentral describes it as "long non-coding RNA (VVIN_LNC000590)". The record is from RNAcentral. Lineage: Eukaryota; Viridiplantae; Streptophyta; Magnoliopsida; Vitales; Vitaceae.